UACGUAGGGUGCAAGCGUUGUCCGGAAUUAUUGGGCGUAAAGAGCUUGUAGGCGGUUUGCCGCGUCUGCUGUGAAAUUUCGGGGCUCAACCCCGAACUUGCAGUGGGUACGGGCAGACUAGAGUGUGGUAGGGGAGACUGGAAUUCCUGGUGUAGCGGUGGAAUGCGCAGAUAUCAGGAGGAACACCGAUGGCGAAGGCAGAUCUCUGGGCCGUAACUGACGCUGAGGAGCGAAAGCAUGGGGAGCGAACAGG
This 253-nucleotide ribosomal RNA is filed under the name uncultured bacterium. Its description in RNAcentral is "partial 16S ribosomal RNA". It matches the Rfam family "Bacterial small subunit ribosomal RNA", at positions 524 to 776 of the family's 1533-position model. The record is from RNAcentral.